RNAcentral lists this long non-coding RNA (5095 nucleotides) under Capsicum annuum. Its description in RNAcentral is "long non-coding RNA (CANN_LNC007097)". Lineage: Eukaryota; Viridiplantae; Streptophyta; Magnoliopsida; Solanales; Solanaceae. The record is from RNAcentral.
GGGGACUUUUGGACCAUUUCUGCAGUGUAUACUGAGCUGUAUACUGACUGUAUAUCCCAGCCCUUCACCCUAGCGUUUUUCUGUAUAUCUCCACAUAUUGUAUAUCAACAUAGAAAUUAGCAUAUUCCCUCCCCAUAUUUCAUUGUACAUUGUAUGGUGGUAUGCAGCUACGACUUUCAGUGUAUAAACGCUGUAUAUCAGCAUAUACCAGCAUGUAUACGUGCUAUCAUGUGUAUAUCAGUCCAAUUUUUGGCUUUAAUGAGGCUCGACUCGACGGUGUUCGAAUGCAAGGAUAAGAGGAGUUCGAUCGGACUCGUUCAAGAUGAGCUCAUGCAAAAGAAAGAAAAGAUAAGGAUUAACAAGUGUCUACUAAUAAUAAAACAAGCAAAUUAGUAUACCAAAUGUCAACUUAAACAAACAAUGAUAAUCACACACUUAAGGUAUAGAUUGUAUUUAAAAAUAUAGAAUAUUCAAAAUAGCACAAGCAAACCAACAUGGAGAAUAACUAUUUUGACCCAAUUAUCGAAUAUUUCAUCACUUAAAUAAUUUUGACAAGAUAGGAGCUUUAAGUACUGACAUGGCAAAGUACAUCCUUUUUAAUAACUAACAUGAACAUUAUCCAAUAUACUUGAACACCAAGAAGAUAACAAAAAUGAAUUACGAAAUAACAUCCAAAAAAGGACCAAGAUGAACAUUCACCCAAGGCAAAGCAAAGGAAAAAGAAUCAGAAACAAAUAAAUACUUUAAGAAGAAUCUGAACUUAAUUUCAAACCAAACAUAUCAAGUAAUCAUUUGUUAGAACAUGACCACAAUAAGAUAAGUGUUAUAAGCUCUGCUAUUUUUCUUGAACACCCGUGCCUUUUUAAUAUUCCCAGGAACAUAACAUGACAUGUCUGUGCGAGCAGCAAAGUCGAAUGAAAAAGAUUCAAACAAGAAUGCUCUAUGGCCUUAAAGAAAUAAAUGAAACAUUUAAAGUUAGUUUCUUAAAUAUACAUGAAACAUUUUGACUCUAGAAAGAAAAUGAGCAAAUGAGCCUUAAUUGGAUUUGAAAAUACUACUGGCAGGAGAAAGGAAAUCUUACAACUUAUUGUUUGUAUUUCUCAUAAAUGGGUAGAUCUUAGACUAGUGAAUUCUAAAAAAAUCGGAAGCAUAUCACAUACAUAACCUAAAUUUAACAGUGAAAUUACUCGGAUGACAUUAGACUUAAGCCAAAGCGAUUCGAGUAAUUCAACUUCACAGGAUAAACAAUCACAAUGAAAACGACAAAAUGCCUAUGCCCAGAUGAACGCCAAAUCAAUCUCUACAUCCAACGUAUAUGAACUUGAAUCGACAGACCCAACGCUUAUCAUCGAUCAAUACACAAUAUGAUUUCAGUAAAUAAAUUUCAAAAACUUCCAAUUCUGACUUCUUACCAUGCUUAUAAUCAAAAGAAUGGGUAAACCAGAAAGACAAAAAGAUUUCAUUUAGCGUUUGACCAUCACAAAGCCAAAUGAAAAAUACAAAGUAAUAAAGAGAAAAAAAAUUCUUCAAAGCUAAUAAAAUUUGGAACUUUUCGACAACAUGGUAAUAAAUUAAUUAAAAACUAAAAAUCAGAAGGCCUCACCCAACGGCCAGCAUUAUUGAUACAAGAAUAAUCACGGAUAUGAACUUAAGAGAGUGCGUGUUGGACCUGAGACUUGGUGAAUGCAAAUGAAGUGAACAGGAACACCUAAAUGGACACCAAAACCGUCCACUCAUAGCACUCCAAGGGCACCUACUUGAAGCCAUUCAUUAAAGGGCCUUUUUUGUCAUUUCACCUAACUUUUGUAAUAAGUCUAUAAAUAGACUAGUUUAGGUCUUUAGUUCUUUAGUUGAUUAUUGUUGUAAGUCUUGACAUUUGAAACACCAAAGUCCUCUCUCUACUUGAGGCAAACCGAAACUUGUAACUAGGAUACCAAUUCAAAGGUGAAAUCUUUUGUGAUGGCUUGUUUUUGAGAAACCUUGGUGCUCGUGUGAUCGUGUGUGGAGAUGUUAGGGGUCUUAGAUUUUAAUAUACUCUUUUGGUUACUAGGAUUUAUACCACUUUUGUCUAACUAUCUAUCCCUUUAUUUUUGUUGUCAUCUCUUAGUAGUUGUGUCUUGUCCUCUUGUAAACGUUCGUUGUUGUUAUUGUAAGCUUGUUGUUCAUCACAUUAACGUAGUGUUACUGCUGUUUUAGUGUGGUUAUACACGUUAUUAUCUCACCAUUGUUGAAGCAUUCUCGGAUUUUCUUUUCAUUCUUGUGUUGUCAUUCUUGGUCGAGACUUGGUUCCUAGGGCUCUCGGUUUGUGGUGUGUUUUGUGACAUUUUUGGGGGUUGUUUUGUGUCUUCUUGGGGUUGUAAGGUAUCAUUUGGUAUCAAAGCAAGGCUGGUUGUGUUCCUACACUACCAAUCUCUACACUACCAAUCUUGGGCUCUCUUAGUUGAAAAAUAAUUUUAAAAAAAAAGUUGAAGUGUUCUUGUUCUUGGCCAAGUGUUCUUAUUGUUGUUGUUGUGUUUGGCCGAGAUUUGAGUGUAUUUUGUUGUCUUAGUUUGUUUCUAGUGCUGGUUCUCUUUCUCCUCAACACUUAUUGAGUCUACAACCCAAGUUCUUGAGCAAGAUUCGAGUUGUGAUGUGGUGUUAACUGGACGGUUUUGUUGUUGUUGGUGGUGGUGUUCAUCUUGUGUUCUUGUGUUGUGUUGAAGAAGUUGUAGUUUGAUCUUGAAGAGAGAAAAGAAGUAUAAGACUUUGUGUUUGUCUUGAAAACAAUUACAAGACAACACCAAAGUAGUAAAAGAAAAAGAGACAUUCAAAAAGCAUACUUACCAAAAAGGAGCGACUAACACUUUUCAAGAAUAGACAAAAGAGGAAAGAGACAAGGCUACUCCAAAAGGAUGUUUUGCCAAAAGAGUGCAAGUUGGUGAAAAGUUAGUAGAAGACUUUUUGACUCUUGAAAAGAGAGUCUAAAAUCUUGUCCACCUACACCAUAGCCGAAAUAUCUUCCUCAAAGGUGUAGUAUUGAACAUCAAAGUCUUGGAACAAAUUUUCUUCAACAACAACGUGUGUUUUGUCUUGUAGGUUUGUGUGGUAUUGUUGCUUGCGGUUCAAAGACUUGAACAUUGUUGGUGUGUUGAUGUUGUGAAUCCGAAUCUUGAAGGUAAUUCCUUGGCCAUAAUGGAAACCAUUUUUUCCCUCCUUGAUGUUAUGUCCUGAGACAUUGUGCUAGGGCGAAUGCGGGUAUUGAAAAGAUUGACUUGGAUGUGGUUGCUAUGAUUGAGAGGUUGGAUCAUAUGGAGAGUCGAAGGAACUCUCGUGCUUAUACUCCUCGACUCCAUGUUUCCUCAAGUGGGCAUGACCAAAACACUUCCACCACCAUUGCCCCCGAAACUUUAUCUCAAAUGAUCAAUCCUCCAAGACCACCACAAAAUGCCAUAAGCCAAGCUCCCAAUUACCCUCAAAACCGAGACCUAAGUAUACCACCUCUCCCGCAAUUUGAUCAAGUCUAACAAGAAGGACUUGGAAGCCAAAUUCCUCCACUAAAACAGAACCCUCCCAUCCAAGAACCACUUAACCAAAGGCGCGCGCCAACCUUCACCAAAUCAAACUCCUCCCUUCCAAGCUCCACUUCUCCAAAACCGACUCGUCUAUGUAGAGGAACAUGGAAGAGAGGAACAUGAAGGAUAUGGUGUCUAUGAUGAGGCUUAUAUGAUGGAAGAAGCGUUUAGAGGAAGACAUAGAGAUCAAAGGGGAUACCGAGGGCAUGGAGGAAGAGUUGGUCCAUGGGACCAACAAGGAACCCACCACCAAAUGGAGAUAUAGGAAUUGAAACGGAUGAGAUUGAAGGAAACUCUCAAGAUGGAGAGGAAGCCGAGGUUCAAAAUGAAGAAGUUGGCCGAGACUUGUGUUAAUGAGAUCCCGUGUUCCUCAUGUUCUUUGUGGACUGUUUUUGUGCCAUCUCAUGUUUUGUGGGCUGUUUUGAGUGGUUUCUUUGAAGUGGCCAAUUGAGUGAGGUGAAGCCGUGAAUUUGUGGGCAAAUUCCUUUCAAGAUGGAGAGGAUGAUACAAGAAUAAUCACGGAUAUUAACUUAAGAGAGUGUGUGUUGGACCCGAGACUUGGUGAAUGCAAAUGAAGUGAAAAGGAACACCUAAAUGGACACCAAAACCGUCCAUUCAUAGAACUCCAAGGGCGCCUACUUGAAGCCAUUCAUUAAAGGGCCUUUUUGGUCAUUUCACCUAACUUUUGUAAUAAGUCUAUAAAUAGACUAGUUUAGGUCUUUAGUUGAUUAUUGUUGUAAGUCUUGAAAUUUAAAAUACCAAAGUCCUCUCUCUACUUGAGGCAAACCGAAACUUGUAACUAGGAUAGCAAUUCAAGGGUGGAAUCUCUUGUGAUUGCUUGUUUUUGAGAAACCUUGGUGCUUGAGUGGUGGACUCCGCUUUUGUGAAAUCGUAAGAGUUAGGUGAUCGUGUGUGGAGAUGUUAGGGGUCUUAGAGUUUAAUAUACUCUUUGAUUACUAGAAUUUAUACUACCUUUGUCUAACUAUCUAUCCCUUUAUUUUUGUUGUCAUCUCUUAGUAGUUGUGUCUUGUCCUCUUGUAAUCGUUCGUUGUUGUUAUUGUAAGCUUGUUGUUCAUCACAUUAAUGUAGUGUUACUGCUGUUUUAGUGUGGUUAUACACGUUAUUAUCUCACCAUUGUUGAAGCAUUCUCGGAUUUUCUUUUCAUUCUUGUGUUGUCAUUCUUGGCCGAGACUUGGUUCCUAAGGCUCUCGGUUUGUGGUGUGUUUUGUGACUUUUUGGGGGCUGUUUUGUGACUUGUGGUGUGUUUUGUGACCUUUUUGGGGGCUGUUUUGUCUCUUCUUGGGUUGUAAGGUAUCAAUUAUACACAUGUUCAAGAAAAAACAUAACGUCACACGUCAAAAAACUAUCACUUUUAAGAAAAAGUUAUCAAGAUGAAAUCUUUACCCAACUUCCAUUAUCAAACCAGUCUCGCAACAACAACGGGAAUCAAAAUACUAAUAGAAUCUCAUGGUGUAACUUUCAAAUACGAAGAAGGGGAAAUGUAAAAAGAUAGAGUUUUUACCUUUUUCGGAGCAGGAACCGGG